GGAGGUCUGCCAGCUUCCUGGUCCCCCGGACAGCCCUGCCUGCCCUGUUGCCUGCCUGCACAACUUGUCAUUUCUCUGCUGACUGUGGGAGCCAUCAGAGCUCUGGCCUACCCAUGGUCUUUCCUGUUGUAGCCUGUCUUUCUGGAGUGCUUCUCAGUCCUAAUCUUUCCAUAACUGGCUUCUUCACCUUGCUUCACCAUUCUCCAGGCAUUUGAAAAAGGAGCUCUCACUCUGUUG
Molecule: long non-coding RNA, 237 nt
Organism: Talpa occidentalis (Iberian mole)
Lineage: Eukaryota; Metazoa; Chordata; Mammalia; Eulipotyphla; Talpidae
Exons: 3
Source: RefSeq, a predicted model, not a curated record